Molecule: long non-coding RNA, 590 nt
Organism: Eucalyptus grandis
Lineage: Eukaryota; Viridiplantae; Streptophyta; Magnoliopsida; Myrtales; Myrtaceae
Exons: 4
Source: RefSeq, a predicted model, not a curated record
GAUUCCACCUUGCUGCAGGUCGUGGUUAAAAUGGAGGAAGAAACACCAGUGGUAGAUGGUGUCUUGGAGUCAUUGGAUUCCGAGGAUCCUCUUCAGGGAACAGUUGCCACAAGAGGCCAACUUAUCGAGCGGAAGGGGACGGCUCUCUCAAGACUGGAGUCAUAGCAUCCAAGUUUCUAAGGGCAAAAGGGAUAUUAUGAUGGACCUAUUUGUUGGAUGAUGCUUUCCUGCUUGGGCUCCCUUACCACAUUGUGAUGAAGCUGAGCUCUUCUCAUAGUUUUCCCCAACUGUGGUUCAAAAGCCUGUUCAAUGGUGAGCACCAGCGGAGUCAUGGCCAACAAAUUCUUUGCCAUGCAGAGUUGUGGAUGGGAACCGCCAGGAUCAAUGUUAUUCCUGAAGCUGAGGAGAGGGUAAGAUGCGCAAAGGAAAGUGUUACACAGUUGCCCAAUGUGUCUCUCUGCCGCCCACUCGACCACCUGUGGCGGUGUCGGGUUCACAAGGUGGUUGCGCUUGGCUAGGCAUGGCAACUACCCAGUGAGCACAUGUCACGGCCAAGAGGUUUUUGCAACUAAAAGGGCCGCGCCUUUCCA